Molecule: small nuclear RNA, 106 nt
Organism: Suncus etruscus (white-toothed pygmy shrew)
Lineage: Eukaryota; Metazoa; Chordata; Mammalia; Eulipotyphla; Soricidae
Source: RefSeq, a predicted model, not a curated record
UCGCUUCAGCAGCAACAAUAUACUAAACAUUGGAAUUGGUAGAGAAGAUUAUCACUGGCCCCUGUGCAAGGAUGACAUGCAAAUUCACGAAGCGUUCCAUAUUUAA